GACGAACGCUGGCGGCGUGCCUAAUACAUGCAAGUAGAACGCACAGUUUAUACCGUAGCUUGCUACACCAUAGACUGUGAGUUGCGAACGGGUGAGUAACGCGUAGGUAACCUGCCUGGUAGCGGGGGAUAACUAUUGGAAACGAUAGCCAAUACCGCAUAAUAUUAAUUAUUGCAUGAUAAUUGAUUGAAAGAUGCAACUGCAUCACUACCAGAUGGACCUGCGUUGUAUUAGCUAGUAGGUGAGGUAACGGCUCACCUAGGCGACGAUACAUAGCCGACCUGAGAGGGUGAUCGGCCACACUGGGACUGAGACACGGCCCAGACUCCUACGGGAGGCAGCAGUAGGGAAUCUUCGGCAAUGGACGAAAGUCUGACCGAGCAACGCCGCGUGAGUGAAGAAGGUUUUCGGAUCGGAAAGCUCUGUUGUAAGAGAAGAACGGGUGUGAGAGUGGAAAGUUCACACUGUGACGGUAUCUUACCAGAAAGGGACGGCUAACUACGUG
Molecule: ribosomal RNA, 505 nt
Filed under: uncultured bacterium
Lineage: Bacteria
Description: partial 16S ribosomal RNA
Rfam family: Bacterial small subunit ribosomal RNA
Source: RNAcentral